GGCCGAAGCGAAAAGAGGAUAUUUGUGUGUGCUAAGAUGAGGUGUGGGUACAGCGUACGAACGCAAACUUAAAAGAUAAAAGUAAAUAAAAAUCAAACUAUCAAAAAUACAGUAAAAUUCCUCAGGCACUGAUUGUGAGUUGAAGUGCCUAUUUUUCUGCGUUGUCUUCGUUAUUCGCACAUGAAUUAGCUGGGUUUGCAAGAAUAUGAAUAUGACAAAGAAGUUUAAUAAGUUUAGUGUAUCUUGGACAAUGCACAAUCACAAAAAACAAUAAUAAUAAUGGUGAAGAGGCGACAUGUGUACAUACAUAUAAAUAUUAUUUAAUAAAAAUCUGCCGGAUUUCAGAUAAUAAUUGUUUAAUUGCUUUUCUCUUUUCAUUCCAUUUUACUUGUUGUUUCGCAAACUUUGUCUAUUGCUUUUACCUUGUUUUUUACUAUCAGGUUUUCAGUUUCCUUUUUACUUAAUUUUCUUUGAUAAUGCACAACAGCAUUGUCAACUAUUGUGAAUUAAAGUUGUUUGUAAUUGGUGUGAUAGACCACAAUCAAUUGUCAAAUUUCAUUCAUGUCCUCUAUUGUAAAUGAGAUGUUACUUCUUCUUUCCAACGUUGACUCUUUGGGCUUUGACAUUCUCUUUUGGUGGUAAAAUAAGGAAAAAUUUGUGAUUGAAGAAGUCAACACGUACGCUCGCGCGGCUGCUAUUUUUCUCAAACCAGAUAGUGAUAGCAAUAUAAAAAGGAAUAAAAUUAUAAUUAAAAAAUGUAAUAGAAAUAAUUGCAAGUGAAUCAAGAAACAGAUUCGAAUAUCUAUCUUUAAAUAUUUGAUUUUUUUUUCUUUUGAUUGAAGUGUUUCUCUCCUCGCGUAGUGUCGCGUCCCUUAUGCCAAUUCGCUAUUUAAAAGAAAAUCAGUGCACAACUUCAAACAUAUGUACAUAUAUAAAUAUAUAUACAUAAAAUUGAUAUAAAAUAUAUACAUCUGUGAGAAAUAUCUGCAACCGUGUCUGAAGCAAAACAAAAAUAUUGCAAGAAUUUAAAUGUUUUAUUUAGUUUAGUGUAUGUAACUCACAAAAAUAUACUUGGAGAAAUUAAAAAUUAUAAAGCAACUUGAGCAAUUAUCUAUACAAAGCCAACACCCCAAAUCAACAGACAACGGAGCAAUAAGACAACAGUAACAACAACGUAGUCAACUCAACAACUUUAAACGAGUAGUGCAGUGCAUUGUUUGGUAAACAAACCAUACUCAACAUCAAUCAAUUAAUACCGCAAACGACAGAGUGCUGAUAAAUUCCCUCACCAUUGAGUACACCAGUGCAGCAUUCCUUUGGUGCGGCCAUAUAAUUUUGGUUUUUGUUUUUUAAGUGGCGUAAUCGUUGUUACCGUUGUACCAAAAUGGGCAACUGCUUGAGUUCCGAGAAACCGGAUAUUCCCAAAAGCAUUGAGUGCGCGCCUAAUGUGCCCAAUGUGGAUUGUGUUGGCAGUCAGCCGGCGGAUCAAAUUCGCGUUGUACAACAGCAGGAGCAAAUACGCCAAGUACCGCAAAUACCAGAAAACGAAAUAUCGAAUGCAAAUGCUAAAAUAUUUGUAGCUUUGUAUGAUUACGACGCACGCACAGAUGAGGAUUUGAGUUUCCGUAAGGGUGAACACUUGGAGAUUCUGAACGACACACAGGGCGACUGGUGGCUCGCACGCAGCAAGAAAUCCCGUCAAGAGGGCUAUAUACCUUCGAAUUAUGUUGCCAAAUUAAAAUCUAUAGAAGCAGAACCGUAAGUAGUUUAUAAAUAGUCUAUUUUUAUACAAAGGAUAUUUAAAUUAAGGUGAAAAAGUUUGCAAGCAAAUUUGGCGUUUUUCAACAUAUAUUACUAUAAAGAAGUUUUUCAUAUCGUUUGUUAUGUAUUUUUAAUACAAUAUAUAUGCACGUAGCUAUAUAUUUUGUGGCUCUGGCUUAAGCCACAGAAGCAGAUAUAAAAUUAUAAAAAAAAUCUGUAAAAAAAUGUAGGAGAAAUAAUAUAAUAAUUAAACAUACUCUGACAAAAAAUUUUUUCUGCAAAAAGCUUUCAAAUUGUUUUCAUACGACAGCACGACACAGUGAGCUUUCGCUAUGUCACUGACUCGUUGUAUUUUCAUGCCUAAAUGUAUGCAAUCAUUUUUAUAGCCGCAAGCAGCUCAAGCACAAUAAACUCCCAUGCAUGAAUGUUUGCACAAGCGUAACAACAAACACAUACAAAAAUAUAAAAUUUGUUGAAGUUCUAAAAAUAAAGGCAGAAGUGCGAAUUUUUGCUAUUUUAAAUUAUUAAUUUUUUUUGGAUUAAUUUAAAAUUUUUUUUUUAUUAAAUAUUUUUAAUAAAUUUUUAAAUUAAUUUAAAUAAGUAUGUAAAAAAUGUAAUGUAUGUUUAAAAUAGUGGGACAAUUAUGGAGUAACUGCAUAUUAAUAAAUAGAACACGGUAAAUGCCUAGAAAAAAUGUUUGGUUUGACUUCCACUAUUUCAUCAGCUAUUUGCUCCAUAUCUCGCCUUCUGGCUUUUUAUAACAUUUUUUUGUAUGAUAUGCAAAAUUAUUUGCUAUUGCUGUGCGAUUUUCGCAAACUACAAAAAAUCAAUCACUCACUCACACAUAUACGCACACGCGUAUAACUAUGCAUAUUUAGGCACUUGAAAAGUUUAAUCAACCUAAUUACACAAUUUGAAGGCAUCACAACACGCUCACGCACACUUCGUCAUUUAGCUACUGACCGCCCCUGAAUUUCAGUGACACUUGCAUAUUUCUUUUUUGUUUAAUAAUUUCAUUUCAUUAUUGGACCUUACGUAGAAUUGUAAAUAAAAUAAAAUGAAAUUACUGUUGCCUUUAAGUGUGCAUUAAAAGGCACCAAGCUGCGGGAUCAGUCACUUUUUGCAGCUCUACGAGCUUUUUAAGUACCGUACGGUGUAAUUUUUAUCAUUUUACUGAUUUCAUAUUUCUGUUAUUUUAUUGUUGUUAUUGUAAAAAGUCACAUAAAUAUACUGCUUAUAAUAAAUAUAUGUGCUACGGGGUUACGUUUUCGUCUGCUGAUGAAGUGAAGCUUGUGUGAAAAACUUCAAAGGCAUACAUUUUUUUUUAUAUUGUUGAAUACGUGUUUAUGUAUAUUUAAUUACUCAUUCAAUAGUUCAAUAAUUAGGUUUUUUCUAUCCUUAAAACUGUUUAUGCUCAUUAACAUUUAAAUCAAAUUUCCUGACUUGAAAUAAUACAUUUCCCUUUGAUGAGCUUUUUUGCACUUGCAUAAACUAUAGAAGCUCUGACUUCGUUGAAAUAGAUUUAAGUUAUCAAUAAAGCAACCCUUAUCUUUUAGUUUUUAACGGUCUGCCAUAAAAGUUUUAACGUAUCACUGUAAAAUUCAUAGAAACACUUCUUAGUAAGGUUGGAGAGUCUAUAAAGACGAACCACCUUCGCUAAGUCUGUAUUAUACAAAACUAUAUAUAUCGUAUUAUUCGAAAGAACAUUAUUUCGCAAUUAUUUUUUAAAGAGUGUCUCUUUCAAAUGUUGGCUGCGGCUACGUCUUAGAUGGUCCAUCCUUUAGAUCCAAUUUUCGAUGUCUCGUUCGAGCAUUUCGAUUGGUGACUGGCGGAAUGACGCGUAAUGUUCUCCUCCAAGACCUGAAUCGAAGAAGGAAUUGUCCGCAUAUACUUUAGACUUUACAUAUCCUCACAGGAAAAAGUCUAACUUUGUGAUAUCAGGUUCAUGACAUGCCCGCCCACUAUAAGUUUUAAUCAAAAUACGACAACUUUAACUGAUUGCUGUUUAUCUUGGUGGCCAUUUCACCUUAAUUAAGUGAAGUGAUGCCGUCUUGUUGAAAUUAAAUAUCGCCGAGAUCACGAGCUUCAAUUUCAGCCAUCAAAUAGUCGAUUAUCAUGUGCGAUAACGGUCGCUAUUGACGCUUACAUUCCCACCGGCAUUAUUUUUGAAGAAAUCUGCAGUGAUGAAACUACCGGCCCACAAACCAUACCGAACCGUUGUUUUUUUCUGGAUGAAAUGGCAGCUCUUUAAUCUGCUCUUCGUCCCAAAUGUCGUCAAUUUUACUUGUUUACAUUAGCCAGAAAUGGGUCUCGUCGGUGAACAAAAUUGGGGUCGAAAGCGUCGGAACUUU
Bactrocera dorsalis (oriental fruit fly) is the source of this 4112-nucleotide RNA transcript. It is a transcript of the gene named tyrosine-protein kinase Src42A-like, with no coding region annotated. The transcript is spliced from 3 exons. Lineage: Eukaryota; Metazoa; Arthropoda; Insecta; Diptera; Tephritidae. The record is from RefSeq and is a predicted model, not a curated record.